UCUAGGCAUGAUAGCAUGCACCUGUAGUCCUAGCUAUUUGAAGGCUGAGGUGGGAGACUGCUUGAGGCCAGGAGUUCUGGGAUGCAGUGUACUAUGCUGUUCAGGUGUCCAAAAUAAGUUUGGAAUCAAUAUAGUGACCUCUUGGGAUCAGGCAACCACCAGGUUGCCUAAGAAAGGGUAACCAGCCCAGGUCAGAAAUGGAAUUGAUAAAAACUCCUGUGCUGAUUAGUAGUUGGAUUGUGCCUGUGAACAGCCACUGCAUUCCAGCCUGGGCAACAUAGCAAGACCCCAUCUCU
RNAcentral lists this signal recognition particle RNA (296 nucleotides) under Microcebus murinus (gray mouse lemur). RNAcentral's name for it is "Metazoan signal recognition particle RNA (ENSMICG00000034530.2)". It matches the Rfam family "Metazoan signal recognition particle RNA". From Rfam's summary of the family: The signal recognition particle (SRP) is a universally conserved ribonucleoprotein. The record is from RNAcentral. Lineage: Eukaryota; Metazoa; Chordata; Mammalia; Primates; Cheirogaleidae.